Molecule: ribosomal RNA, 413 nt
Filed under: uncultured bacterium
Lineage: Bacteria
Description: bacterial SSU rRNA
Rfam family: Bacterial small subunit ribosomal RNA
Source: RNAcentral
GACGAACGCUGGCGGCGUGCUUAACACAUGCAAGUGGUGCGACGAACCAGGGCUUGCCCUGGGGCAGAGCCGCGAACGGGUGAGUAACACGUGGGCAACCUGCCCCGAUGACUGGGACGAACCCGGGGAAACCCGGGGCCGUAAUACCGGAUGUGCUCCCUCACACCAGUGAGGUGAGUAAAGGAAGCUUCGGCCUCCGCAUUGGGAUGGGCCCGCGGCCCAUUAGCUUGUUGGUGGGGUAAUGGCCACCAAGGCAACGAUGGGUAGCUGGUCUGAGAGGACGAUCGGCCACACUGGGACUGAGACACGGCCCAGACUCCUACGGGAGGCAGCAGUGGGGAAUCUUGCGCAAUGCGCGAAAGCGUGACGCAGCAACGCCGCGUGGGGAAGAAGGCCUCGGUUGUAACCCUUAC